GCGGGAUUCGUAUAGUGGCUAUUAUAUCUGCCUUCCAAGCAGAGGACGCCAGUUCGAUUCUGGUAUCCCGCU
Molecule: transfer RNA, 72 nt
Filed under: Candidatus Moraniibacteriota bacterium
Lineage: Bacteria; Candidatus Moraniibacteriota
Also listed under: 1 other name
Description: tRNA-Gly
Rfam family: tRNA
About the family: Transfer RNA (tRNA) molecules are approximately 80 nucleotides in length. Their secondary structure includes four short double-helical elements and three loops (D, anti-codon, and T loops). Further hydrogen bonds mediate the characteristic L-shaped molecular structure. tRNAs have two regions of fundamental functional importance: the anti-codon, which is responsible for specific mRNA codon recognition, and the 3' end, to which the tRNAs corresponding amino acid is attached (by aminoacyl-tRNA synthetases). tRNAs cope with the degeneracy of the genetic code in two manners: having more than one tRNA (with a specific anti-codon) for a particular amino acid; and 'wobble' base-pairing, i.e. permitting non-standard base-pairing at the 3rd anti-codon position.
Source: RNAcentral